This 1187-nucleotide long non-coding RNA is filed under the name Heterocephalus glaber (naked mole-rat). RNAcentral's name for it is "lncRNA (ENSHGLG00000049898.1)". Lineage: Eukaryota; Metazoa; Chordata; Mammalia; Rodentia; Bathyergidae. The record is from RNAcentral.
CAGGGACCUGGGUCAAACCGGAAAGGGACAUCAGAAGGUCACCUGUCUGGCAGGAUGCUCCGAACCCCUGGGCCUGAAGGAUGGCACCAUCCCCGACAGGCAGAUCACAGCCUCCAGCAGCUAUAAGAUGUGGGGCCUUGAGGAGCCUUCAGCUGGUCGCCUCUUCUUGAGAGGCUGGACAAUCAGGGCAAGUUCAACGCCUGGACAGCACAGAGCAACUCUCCCAAUGCCUCUGAGUGGCUGCAGGUUGACCUGGGCUCCCAGAAGCAGGUGGAGGGGAUCAUCACCCAAGGCGCCGUGACUUUGGCCACAUCCAGUGCGUGGCUUCCUACAAGGUGGCCUACAGCAACAAUGGUGUCAACUGGGUUGAGUACAAGGAGCCAGGGGCUGUGGACAGCAAGAUCUUCCAAGGCAACUUGGACAACAACUCCCACAAGAAGAAUGUGUUUGAGACGCCCUUCUUGGCUCGCUAUGUGCGCGUGCUGCCUGUGUCCUGGCAAAACCGCAUCACCCUGCGCCUGGAGCUGCUGGGCUGCUAGCAUUUGCCCCGCGGGUCAGACCUGAGGGACCUAAGUGACCACAGGGCUGCCUCUCCACACCCUGCCUCCUGCCUGCUGCAGCCCCUUGUUCCCCUUCGGGCCUUAGAGGAGGCACCCAAGGCUGCCAUCGUCCCUCCCCUUUCCUUCCAGCUCUACAGGCCUCCCCUUCCCAGGGCCUUCGAGGGUCGGUCUGGGAUUCACUGGGAUGCACGCUGAGUCAGGUGUGUGGCUUUUCGGCACCUCCACGGAUCCCAGGCCCCCAGCUCUGGGUUGACUCUAGAGGGGCCUCUGGGCUUCCCAAGCCCCUUGCUGCAGCACCCCACAUUCCCGAGUCCCCAGAUGGAGGCCCGUGUCCCCAGACAGCAGAGUCCUCCCACCCCCAGGUGCCGGGCCAGCGAUUGCAGCCCGGGGCAGAUGCUGCCAGCCAGCUCUGCGCCUCCCCGACGCGUCUCCUUAUCUCGCCAGAGACCCCUCUUGACCCUGUCCCUAGGAAGAAGACGGAGGGGGUGCUGGGUCUGUGGAGAGACAGGAGACUGGAGCCAGCCUGGCGGUGAGCGGGAGGCUGGCUGGGUGGGCAGGGGUCUCUGUGCUGUCCCCUCACCCAGGCCACGGGCAGCUUCCCAAAUAUAUUUGUAUUCACCACUGGAA